Long non-coding RNA from Oncorhynchus tshawytscha (Chinook salmon), 2596 nucleotides. RefSeq lists it as uncharacterized. The record is from RefSeq and is a predicted model, not a curated record. NCBI's taxonomy places the organism in Eukaryota, Metazoa, Chordata, Actinopteri, Salmoniformes, Salmonidae. The transcript has 2 exons.
AUUUCGAAUACCUCAAAUCUUCCCACAUAGUCUCUUUCCAUAACCCUCCAACUAACCUUCAUGCUAACUUGUGAGUGAUGUGGGAGUGUGUUUAGUAGUGAAUGCUGAUACCAGCAUGGUCGGAAGAGAGCAGAGAGAUGUCAUUGAUUCUUGUUCAUCCCUUCUCUCUGCAACUCUUUUCAUGAGCCAAUGGGAGCGAGUGUAUGUUUAUCACAGUCCCUGUGUCAGGGAUGCAAACUCGUCACUUUUGACGAUAUUUGCCGUUUUGAGCUCAAAAUAGGUAAUCCACGUGAAUCGUGUAAAUCCAUAAAAAUAACUUUUGUGGUGGCUGAACUACAAAAGAGAGGCACGAACUGAUCUUCUCCCUGUGUGAUCACCACCAGAGAUACUGGAUAUAGUGAUGGGAUGCUUGUGUCUCCGCCCUUAACAAUGGGAUUCGUUGUCCACAGAGCGGAACGGCGGGCUGUCAAGCUCCCGCCUGUUCCGUUCUUUUUAGGGAGGGAUAAUUCACGGGCUGCUGCGUUGUCACAAUGGGAACUCUUUCUAGAGCACCUGGUUAAAUUGUGCAUAACAGUAGGGUGUUAGGUGACACGACAAACAAUGAACGCUAUACUAUAAUAAUACAUUUAAAAAACACAGGCUAAUCAAAUCCAUUUAAACUAAAUGUCAAUAAUGUGAUCAUCAAAAUGCAUAGUAAAUCAUUUCAGAACACGAACAUGUUUUCAGUCUAAAUGGUUAAUGGAGUGAGAAAUAUGUGAUUAUUGUAAAAGUUUGCGAGUGCAUAAUUUACAAUCAUCCUGAAUUAAAAUAUGGAAUCAUUUUUGCUAUAUGCUAUGCUAUUGCUAUUUUCCUUGAUGUCUGUUACUACAUUACACAAGCUCAUGUUCUGAACACGUCAAAUUGGGGGAAUUACUCAUCCCUUUUUACAUCAGACUGGUGGUGAUUAAAACAACUCAAUCUAUUUGUGGGCGGCAGGGUAGCCUAGUGGUUAGAGCGUUGGACUAGUAACCGAAAGGCUGCAAGUUCAAAUCACCGAGCUGACAAGGUACAAAUCUGUCAUUCUGCCCCUGAACAUCCACUGGAAAAUAGCAUAUAGAAAAUAAUUUAAUAUGUCAAAAAUUAUUCCAGCCAGGCCGUCAUUGAAAAUAAGAAUUUGUUCUUAACUGACUUGCCUAGUUAAAUAAAGGUUUAUAAAAAAAUAAAAUGUUGUGUGCUCUUGUAUGAUUGUGUGUGGGAGGGGGUACACUGUAUGCUACUGAUUUUAUAUUGACCUUAAUCCCCCAAAACCCAAAUAACUGCCAGGUGUGUGUUUGAAGAGGGUGGUGGGGUGUCUGUGUUUACUUCUGUAUCUAUGCCACUGAUAUGUCUGUAUUUUAUUUUGUGGUGCGCAAUGUGCCCCACUAAACUAAUGCACUGCCAGGGAUAGCUGUCACUUUGGUGUGUGGGAAGAAGGAGAUGACACACUGCAGCAGUGCUAGUAUGGAGGUAGAUAGUAUGGUGUGUAGGGGAAGUCAGGAUUUUGCUAGUGUGUUUUGAUUUAUCUAUUGAAAGGCCAUGUAAGGUUAGUGUUGACUAAUGGCAUAAUGCUGGUGAGCCGGGCACUAUCAGGUGAUUGUCCCAUGGUCCUGAGUUUACAUAUCAGCAAAGGUACUGUAUCAUGUUGUUUUUGAGAAACUUGGUGGAUCACAGGUUGACAGGCUACCAGGUCCAACGCUCUGUAAGUGGGCUUACGUGGUUUUGUAGGCACAUGUUUCAUUGCAACGUGGUGAAGAUCUGGUUGGAGAGCUGCACUGCUCUCUGCUUCCCAUGUUGAAGGAGUACGUUAUGGUUUCCCAGGUGCGUAUCUUCACAUUUUAAGUGAAUUCUAAAUUCUUAUUGGAUAAGAAAAAUGAUAUACUAUGCCUACUCUCUGGGUCUCAUCAGUUGGAUGGACAUAUAAACAGAGUAUUUGCCCUUAACUGCAAACCAUCUCUCUGUGUGGUCAUAAAAUAGUAAAAUUUUCCUUUAACAUGCCAUAAUUAAUUCACAGGGCAGCCAAACCAUUGUCCACAAGCAGCUUGAAGUGAUCACCAUCUUCAUGGCAUGCUUUCUCAAGGCUGAGCAUCACCACACCCAAGAAGCUCAUGGAGAUGAACUUCAUUGACAAGAUGCUGCCUUCCAGAGAAUUGUAUGAUGGAUCAGUGUCUGAGAAACCUAAGGCAGAACAUCCAGGACACCCUAUUGUGCAAAAGUUUCUUAACGUGGUGAAGACUGUUAUGACAACUGCAGCCUACAUGCAGAAGAAAAUGCCCCUGGACAGCAUGACCCUGCAAUUGCUCUCUGCACACGACCCAGUGGUGAGAGGCCAUUCACAGACUGGCAUCCUGUUGAAGCGGCUUGCUAGGAUGAUGGACCACCCAGUUCCACCCGAUUUUCAGCUUCCACUGGAAGUCGUGAAGUUUAAUGUGGAUUCUACCCUUCCCCCUUACAAGGAUGGUGAGGACAACAUGGUCAAGUGGUGGGGCCUGAACCAGAUUUUACUAGUGUCUCCCUCAAUCUUCCAUGGUCCUAUUGUGGAGUCUUCGUUUAAUGUGAUGGGAGACAUCACAGCUCAAAA